AUCGCNGCUACCAUGCAAGUCGAGGGGUAGGAAAUUUCGGUUUCUGAGACCGGCGCACGGGUGCGUAACACGUAUGCAAUCUACCUUGUACAGAGGGAUAGCCCGGAGAAAUCCGGAUUAAUACCUCAUAGUAUUUUGAAAUGGCAUCAUUUUAAGAUUAAAGAUUUAUCGGUACAAGAUGAGCAUGCGUCCCAUUAGUUAGUUGGUGUGGUAACGGCACACCAAGACGAUGAUGGGUAGGGGUCCUGAGAGGGAUGUCCCCCACACUGGUACUGAGACACGGACCAGACUCCUACGGGAGGCAGCAGUGAGGAAUAUUGGUCAAUGGACGCAAGUCUGAACCAGCCAUGCCGCGUGCAGGAAGAAGGUUCUAUGGAUUGUAAACUGCUUUUGUACAGGAAGAAAUUAUCCCUCGUGAGGGAGCUUGACGGUACUGUAAGAAUAAGGAUCGGCUAACUCCGUGCCAGCAGCCGCGGUAAUACGGAGGAUCCGAGCGUUAUCCGGAAUCAUUGGGUUUAAAGGGUUCGUAGGCGGUUUUGUAAGUCAGUGGUGAAAGUUUUCGGCUUAACCGGAAAAUUGCCAUUGAUACUGCAAGACUUGAAUGUUUGUGAAGUAGCUAGAAUAUGUAGUGUAGCGGUGAAAUGCUUAGAUAUUACAUGGAAUACCGAUUGCGAAGGCAGGUUACUAACAAAUGAUUGACGCUGAUGGACGAAAGCGUGGGUAGCGAACAGGAUUAGAUACCCUGGUAGUCCACGCUGUAAACGAUGGAUACUAGCUGUUUGGUCGUACGACUGAGUGGCUAAGCGAAAGUGAUAAGUAUCCCACCUGGGGAGUACGUUCGCAAGAAUGAAACUCAAAGGAAUUGACGGGGGCCCGCACAAGCGGUGGAGCAUGUGGUUUAAUUCGAUGAUACGCGAGGAACCUUACCAGGGCUUAAAUGUAGUCUGACAGGCGUGGAAACAUGCCCUUCU
RNAcentral lists this ribosomal RNA (971 nucleotides) under uncultured bacterium. RNAcentral's name for it is "bacterial SSU rRNA". It matches the Rfam family "Bacterial small subunit ribosomal RNA", at positions 44 to 1017 of the family's 1533-position model. The record is from RNAcentral.